Molecule: non-coding RNA, 3118 nt
Organism: Peromyscus maniculatus bairdii (prairie deer mouse)
Lineage: Eukaryota; Metazoa; Chordata; Mammalia; Rodentia; Cricetidae
Source: RefSeq, a predicted model, not a curated record
GCAGGGUGCCACUAGGCAAGGUGCCGUUGGUCAGGGCCUUUAACUGAUUUCCUGCCAGGUCCAGGACUUUCAGGUUGGGCAGGAAGGUGAGACUGCUCCAGUUAAAGAAAGACAGGUCCACGAAAUGAAGGUUUGGGAAGGUCCCGAAGAUGCUGAGCUGGGCCUGGUUAAUGAAGUUCAUCUGAAGAUGCAGAGUGUGGAGGUGGGGCAGAUUGGUCAGCGGCCUGAGUGUGUUCUUGUUGAGCAGUCGGAAGAAGAUGCCGUUCAAGUUCAGCUCUUGCAGUGACACCAGACUCUCGAAGGACUUUGCCAGGUGGCGCUUGGCAAAUGAUAUCUUCUUGCAAUAAUUGAAGGACAGGUCGAGCUUGCGCAGUCUUGUCAGGUUCUGAAAGGCCAUAGUUUGGGUAAUGCUGUCAUAGAGAAAGUUCUCACUUAGGUCCAGCACUGAAAGGUUGACGAGGCCCUGGAACCAGGAGGAGUUCAGCGUGUGGAGAGAACUGUCCUUCAGCACCAGGCCUUCGAGGUGGCUCAGGUGAUGGAAGGUCUCGGGGUGCAGCUGGAGGGACUCUUGUCCACAUUCUGUACAGGGGUUGAAGGCAUGGUCACAGCGGCGACAGUUCCCGCCCACGUCAAGUACCCGCAGGGAGGUCAGAUUGGCGAGGUCCUCAGGUGCCAGCUUGACAAUGUGGUUAUAGGACACCAGGAGGUACUCCAGGCUGGGGGGCAGUUGGCGGGGCACCUUCUCGAGUUUGUUAUACUUGAGUGACAAGUGGGUGAGAUUGCUCAGGCCCAGGAGGGCACCUGGGGCCACCUUCACUGACUCAUUGCAGGGGUUCUUGUAGUAGCAGUUCCCAUCCAUGAAGAGAAAGCGCAGGUUGUACAGGCCGGCAAGGCUGGUGGAAUCUAGUGCCAGGAUGUUGGUGUGGCUCAGGCUCAGGUUCAUCAGGGAGCUGGGCAGCGGGGGUACAGUGGUGAUGCCGUUGUAGCUCAGAUUCAGCUCCUCCAGUGUCCGCACGACCACGAAGGUGUUGCGCUCGAUGGUCAUGUGGCAGGGGAAGUGCAUGGGGCUGAGGCCGGUGGGCGGGCAGUUCCACUUGAGGUUCAGGUGCCGCAGGCUGGACAGGUGGACGAAGUCGGAGUUAUGCAGGUGGUGGAUGCGGUUGGAGAUCAAGGAAAGGCUGGUGAUGUUGGAACGGGCAGCCGCUGCAGAGAAGCGAGGCACAGACUUCAGGAACAGCCAGUUGCAGUCUACCAGGCCACGAGGCUUCAGCUCACAGGGCAGGAAGGCAGGCAGGGUGCCCAGAGCCAGCACCUCGGCCAGCACUGCAGCUUGCACCAGGAGAGACACAGGGUGAAGGGUCCUGUGACAGAGAACCUGUGAGAGCCAGGACUGGGUGAGUGUCUAGCGUUAUCCUGCCCUCCCUCUCCUACCCUCUCUUCCUCACUGGGCCGGUUCUUCAGGGCUUCCAAGUCCCCUCCAAGUGCCGCCCCCUCCAGCCUCCUUCCGGGCCCGCUCAGAACCGCUCCUUGGUUUUAGGCUCAGCCACUGACUGACUCAGGGCUAGGACACAGAACCAGGAUUGGGCCUGAAAUCCAGACCCCAGACUUGGAGCGUUUCGCUGGGAACACACAACCCAUAAUAGCAGGGCCAGGACAGACUCCAACGGGCCCACUGGGCCUCCCACACUUUCUCUUCCUCUCCUCUGGGGCCUCAGCUCUUUUCUCUGUUCCUCCAGGCCUCCCUGAAGCUGGGCUCCACUCACUUCCUGGCCUCUCCUUGGCCAAAGUGCCUGGAGCUCUCAAGCCCCCUGAGGUGUAGCUGGCUUCUCGCUGGUACAAACUGGCUUUUGUAGCCUCCAUCCGCUUCCCCAGUCUGACCUGAGAACCCUCAGCCUGCUGAGACUCAGAAGGCCCAGAGGGAGCAACGGGCAGCAGGUCUUCCGCGUGCAGGUCAGCAGCCACCGGGAACUGAGGUCCCAGGCUUCAACCUCCCUACCCACCUAGCAGGUUCAUCCCUCCCUGCUCAGAGAACGACUUUGGCUGCAGUUUCCUCAGGGGUCCAUGAACAUCCCGAGGGCACCGAGUGGACUGUCCUCUCCACUGUGACCAUUCUAACAUCAUCCUCCUCCCAUGAUGCCCACUCCCGGGGGGUGGGGGUGGGGCUAAGAACUGCGGUCCUACCAUGUUGGGGAAUGGAGUCUUCUCUAGAGGCUCCGUCCGUCCGACAAGCUGGGCGGCAGAGAAGGAUGUUCCACCAGGGUCCCUUAGAGGAACUGAGGAAGUGACACUUUCGCUGCAGCCUGAUAGAUACUUUAUCCCUACCCGGGGAGGGCAGGUGGUACCAUGAGUCACAGGUCAUUUGCAUAGUCAGAUGGCAGGCAGGCCUCUUCACUCCUUCCUCUUUUCAUUCUCUCCCUCACCCCGCAGCCAGCCAUGAGGGCCUCACAUCUGUCCCCUGGGAGGUACGGGAAGGGACCACAGCCCAGAGUCCUGCCCAAGGUCAAUGAGAAACCAGGGUCUGAAGCAGCCUGGCAGAGCUGCGCCGAGCAUUGACACCCACGCGGAGGGUGUCACCUCACCCUCAUGCCUCAGUGUUUGCUCUGUGGGUACGCCCAGGGCAGGCCCCCCGACUCUGGGCAGCCUCCGCGAGCCAGAGGCUGGAGCCAACAUCUGCCUUCACCACUGCAGCAGCCUCGACAUCUCUUCCAGGAACAGUGACUCCUGCUCUGCAUUCCCAGUUCCCCCAGUAGCCCAUCAGACCCCAGUGGCUGGUCCAGCUGGAACUCUGGGUCAUCUUGCUGUCGUGUGACAUGGUUCCUGGGGAGAUGCGUGCAGAUGUGUACUCACCCGAGGAAGCAACUGAUGACAGGCCAAAGCUGAGGACGUCACCCGAGUCCAAGUUGGCUAGCCAGUGAGCUUUACUGGAGUUACAUGGGUGAGGACUCACUUAAAGGAGCAGACAUGACUCAGAGACAGAUGCACCACCCAGAGCCCACCCCAGCAUGGGUUCCACAAAAGCUGGAAACCCGCAGCUUCACCCACAACUUGGUGGCAGCUCAAAAUGUUGGAGAGGACACAGAGAGACGUGACUGAGAGACUCUAGGCCUGUGGACUGAAG